AUCAGGUGGUUAACAUUUCAAGCUUGUGCUUAUAGAGGCCAUGAUGAAUCUCCGGGAUCAAGUAAUCAGGGUAAUUUUCUUCAACUAGUGAGGUUCUCGGCUUUUUAUAUCAAAGAGGUGAAUGCGGUUGUUUUGGAAAAUGCUCCAAAGAAUGCGAAUUACACCUCCCAUACAGUGCAACUAGAAAUCCUCACAUUACUUUCUAGUAGAGUUAAGAGAAAAAUUAGAGAUGAAAUUGAUACUAGCAAGUUCUGCAUAAUGGUAGACAAAGCACGAGAUGAAUCUAAAAAAUAGCAAAUGGCAUUGGUUCUUCGAUUCCCAAGCACUGAGGGGGUUCAUACAGGAGUGUUUUCUUGA
RNAcentral lists this ribosomal RNA (357 nucleotides) under Triticum aestivum (bread wheat). RNAcentral's name for it is "partial small subunit ribosomal RNA". The record is from RNAcentral. Lineage: Eukaryota; Viridiplantae; Streptophyta; Magnoliopsida; Poales; Poaceae.